AAUGAGGGGGAAAAGCUGUUGCCCUGCAGGGUUGUUUUGAGGACUUGCAGAAGGCCUCACAUACAACGUCUCAAUUAGUGCUGGGAAGCACCACCACUCUUCUCACAUUCUUACUGCAAGGUUCCUAAACUCUCUGCCCUCCCCCAAACCUUGAAACUAUACUCCUGUGACAGCAGCUCGGGAAAUCUAAAGAUUGGGUGGUGGUCUUGCCUUCUUCUAGACCCUGAAAGUCUAUUUUCAUUGGCAGGUCCGUCCUUUCACUUUAGGCCAGCUAAAGGAGUUGUUGGGGCGCACAGGAACCUUGGUGGAAGAGGCCUUCUGGAUUGACAAGAUCAAAUCUCAUUGCUUUGUAACGUACUCAACAGUAGAGGAAGCUGUUGCCACCCGCACAGCUCUGCACGGGGUCAAAUGGCCCCAGUCCAAUCCCAAAUUCCUUUGUGCUGACUAUGCCGAGCAAGAUGAGCUGGAUUAUCACCGAGGCCUCUUGGUGGACCGUCCCUCUGAAACUAAGACA
This 514-nucleotide small RNA is filed under the name Pan troglodytes (chimpanzee). RNAcentral describes it as "retained intron". Lineage: Eukaryota; Metazoa; Chordata; Mammalia; Primates; Hominidae. The record is from RNAcentral.